GGAUUGGUGCCUUCGGGAACUCUGACACAGGUGCUGCAUGGCUGUCGUCAACUCGUGUCGUGAGAUGUUGGGUUAAGUCCCGUAACGAGCGCAACCCUUGUCCUUAGUUACCAGCACGUUAUGGUGGGCACUCUAAGGAGACUGCCGGUGACAAACCGGAGGAAGGUGGGGAUGACGUCAAGUCAUCAUGGCCCUUACGGCCUGGGCUACACACGUGCUACAAUGGUCGGUACAAAGGGUUGCCAAGCCGCGAGGUGGAGCUAAUCCCAUAAAACCGAUCGUAGUCCGGAUCGCAGUCUGCAACUCGACUGCGUGAAGUCGGAAUCGCUAGUAAUCGUGAAUCAGAAUGUCACGGUGAAUACGUUCCCGGGCCUU
RNAcentral lists this ribosomal RNA (375 nucleotides) under uncultured Pseudomonas sp. RNAcentral describes it as "bacterial SSU rRNA". It matches the Rfam family "Bacterial small subunit ribosomal RNA", at positions 1008 to 1382 of the family's 1533-position model. Lineage: Bacteria; Pseudomonadati; Pseudomonadota; Gammaproteobacteria; Pseudomonadales; Pseudomonadaceae. The record is from RNAcentral.